This is a long non-coding RNA of Brienomyrus brachyistius, 1548 nucleotides long. RefSeq lists it as uncharacterized. The transcript is spliced from 3 exons. NCBI's taxonomy places the organism in Eukaryota, Metazoa, Chordata, Actinopteri, Osteoglossiformes, Mormyridae. The record is from RefSeq and is a predicted model, not a curated record.
GUAAUGAAACACAAAGACAGAACAGCACACCUGAAGUUUUAGAAGACUUCUAGUAAAAACCACGGUCAGCUGCUAUAUUCCGGAAACCUUCUACAGUCAAGUCCGAAGAAAAGACGUUGUGGUCCUAGAGAUGCAUAGACUGCUACCAAGAACAAUUCUCCAACAGAGGGCAACGUCUGCAGCGUAAAUGGCGCAGCAAUCGCAUAAGCUGGAAAACCAGAGACAAAAACAACAGGGAUGCAGUAGCUAACGCUGCCUGGACCGUUAAUUAGCCCAGUGGUUUGGAAAACAGUCCGUAGGAUUCAUGGCUCCAAAGUGCUUCCUACCAGCUUCCUGAAAGACCAAGGUGGGUGGAUUAGCCUUGCAUAACAGCCCUAUCUUUUGUUCAUUAUCCUAUAACUGUCCAGUGAAAACAACUGCUUUAAAUAGCACAGAGUGCAAAUUUAGCAACAAAUGUCCCAGCCUCACCAAUACAGCAACUGAGACGGCAAAUUCUGCUGUGUUUGUGUAGCUCCCUUUGUAGGGCUUACAUUCGUUUUGCAUCCAUGAUUAAUGGUCACUGUUAUGUUUUUCAGAUACAAGUCUGACUUUGUUGCUAAAGGCCAUUUGCCAUCUUUUCAGAUUUGUCUAGCCAUAAAGCAAAGUGCGCAUAAUCCGAGGUCAUCAUCCAAAGAGAAAUGCCAUAUUUUUAUGAUACUAAUGAAAUCCACAAUCCAGAAAAUCAUUGUCCAUAUUUCAGAUCACAAAAACUUUGAGAAAUAAAUGAUCAUUUUGUGAUUCUGAGGGUUAAAAUGUAUCAUUUAAAAUAGCUAAAAGUUGCAACCAUCCAGCAGUUUUACGGAGUCUCAGGUUAGUUCCACAGAAUUUGAUGUGAAAUUUCUUACACUGGUUGACUACUUUGCUGACAGCCACAGGACACCUCACUGCUUUAACCUACUGGUAUUUAUUUGUUUUUAAACCAGUUUAAGUCAGUCUUCUAUGAGUUUAGCUAAGUAUUUUUCUGCUUCUGAUUAUUAUAUUACAGCUGCAUUCAUUUUUAAUAUAGUGUCACUACAUGAUUUUUUUAAAGAUGCAAAGCAUUUUGUUUUCGGGUAUUCUGUGAUCAUGCCAGCAGUGCUACUGACUUUCUUAAAAAUUGCAGUUUUACAGAAGACAGGGCAGCGGGAUAAACUUUCCAAAAGAAAUGGAAACUGACUGCUAAUUUGCACUAUAUGGUUUUUUGGAUUUACAUAAAGCAACUGUAAACUGCAUUUAUCCAUGUUAAUUUCCUUAAGACUUACAAGCCUGCAUUUUGGCCUCUGAAUGGGGCAGGGUGUAUAUUAAUAUAGUUAAGUUACAUAAAACGGCCACAUUAUAUUAACUGAGGAGGUGUAAAAAUAGCCAAAAUAUUACACACCAAGUCAUGAUCCCUCAAAGCAGUUUAGAGGCCACGUGAAUAAUAACCAGAGAAAAUGGUAACAGUAUGAAGCACACCAUGACCUGCACUGGACAUGGGGUUAUGGAUGAAUGAACAGAACCUUCUGAAGCACACUGUGACCUGCACUGGAC